Molecule: long non-coding RNA, 822 nt
Organism: Gallus gallus (chicken)
Lineage: Eukaryota; Metazoa; Chordata; Aves; Galliformes; Phasianidae
Source: Ensembl
GUCAUUUAGAAACAGAAGAGAGGCCAAUUUGCUGGUGAUUGCCAUAAAUUCAACGCCAGGCUUCUGAACCAGACACCUCGGUUAGAUGUGCACCAACAGCAGCACAAGAGAAGAACUUCACAAGAGAAGGUUGUAACGAUGCAGAGAGCUGCACACCUUUCUCCGGCUUUCUCCAGGUCCGGUCUGGCUCCGAGCGUGCGGAGGCUUGGAAGCAGAAUUUAGAACUCGCAGUGGCGUUCCAUUUCCUUCCACAAGAGGGGGAUCGCCUUUGCUCGAUGCUCCCAAGAAAGCGAGAACGUGGCUUUGAGACGGGCUCAAAGCAGCAGCAUAGAGCAUCGUGCGCGUUCCUGCCCACAGCAACAGUGCUAAGAAAGGCAGGCUUAACUCGAGCGAAGCGUCAGCCACACGUUCUGGAUCACGUUGUAUAACAGCGGGCUGCAAUGUCAAGUGAAGAUGCUGGGAUUCUGGGGAGGAGACUUCACACCAGCACCAGCAGAGUGAUGUAAGUUCCCCAUGCAGCAGAGGGAAGGGACAUGCACUGCUGGGGCCAGAUGGAAGGCAGGCUGUGGCAGACUGAAGACAUGGGCAGAGAAAGCCCAGCCACCAGAGGAGGAGAUGACAUAGGGCUUGUCAAGGCCCACCAGCCCGUGAUGGAAAUGGGUGGCCAAUUUAGCCUAGUGGUGAACGUACAGGAUGGAUCUACAUCCUAAGUAACAACGUUGUUUAAUUAAAAAAGAAAAUAAAAAAGUUAAUGAAGCAAGUCUUGUGCCAAUAAAUGGUAAAUUAUCACUGAAAAGGCUUGAUACACACUCAUCUAGCAUA